This 474-nucleotide long non-coding RNA is filed under the name Parus major (Great Tit). RNAcentral describes it as "lncRNA (ENSPMJG00000004455.1)". The record is from RNAcentral. Lineage: Eukaryota; Metazoa; Chordata; Aves; Passeriformes; Paridae.
CAUAACUAAAGAACCAGCAGAUGUUCCUUUGCACCUUGAGAUGAGGAAGGAUACGCAGCCAGAAAGAAAGGAGUCUCCAGACAUCAAGUUAAACGUGAUGAGAGAUGGACAGAGCACAGCUGGAGUCAUUCCUGGAGCAGAAGGAGGAGCUCAGGGAAGAAACUGCCACCAGCCCUGAGUUCCUCAUGAUGACAAAUUCUGGUCUUCAGCUGCCUUCCCUGAAGAAUUCCCAAUAUUUUAUCCUGAAGUGCUGCUUUUGCAGAAACUUUCUGGCCUGGUUUGUAUUUUCCUGUCAGGAUCCUUGCAUCCUCAAGGCAGAUAAACCUCAUGCCAUUUGGUCUAAAUGCAGGUGUUUGGUACCUCAGUGGUGCUUUGGUCUCUUUUUUAUUCUCUUCCAUCUGGUAAGAAAUCCUUUUGUUUUAUUUUUCUCCUUCUGUCCUCUUCUUUUAAGUAACAUUUUUAACAUUAUUUUUC